This 638-nucleotide ribosomal RNA is filed under the name uncultured Ascomycota. RNAcentral describes it as "partial 18S ribosomal RNA". The stretch from base 236 to 389 matches the Rfam family "5.8S ribosomal RNA". The record is from RNAcentral. Lineage: Eukaryota; Fungi; Ascomycota.
GGAAGUAAAAGUCGUAAACAAGGUUUCCGUAGGUGAACCUGCGGAAGGAUCAUUAAAGAGUAAGGGUGCUCAGCGCCCGACCUCCAACCCUUUGUUGUUAAAACUACCUUGUUGCUUUGGCGGGACCGCUCGGUCUCGAGCCGCUGGGGAUUCGUCCCAGGCGAGCGCCCGCCAGAGUUAAACCAAACUCUUGUUAUUUAACCGGUCGUCUGAGUUAAAAUUUUGAAUAAAUCAAAACUUUCAACAACGGAUCUCUUGGUUCUCGCAUCGAUGAAGAACGCAGCGAAAUGCGAUAAGUAAUGUGAAUUGCAGAAUUCAGUGAAUCAUCGAAUCUUUGAACGCACAUUGCGCCCCUUGGUAUUCCGAGGGGCAUGCCUGUUCGAGCGUCAUUACGCCACUCAAGCUAUGCUUGGUAUUGGGUGCCGUCCUUAGUUGGGCGCGCCUCAAAGACCUCGGCGAGGCCUCACCGGCUUUAGGCGUAGUAGAAUUUAUUCGAACGUCUGUCAAAGGAGAGGACUUCUGCCGACUGAAACCUUUUAUUUUUCUAGGUUGACCUCGGAUCAGGUAGGGAUACCCGCUGAACUUAAGCAUAUCAAUAAGCGGAGGAAAAGAAACCAACAGGGAUUGCCUUAGUAACG